CCUACGGGGGGCUGCAGUGAGGAAUUUUCCGCAAUGGGCGAAAGCCUGACGGAGUAAUACCGCGUGCGGGAGGAAGGUCUAUUGACUGUAAACCGCUUUUAUUAAGAAAGAAUUCUGACGGUACUUAAUGAAUAAGCCUCGGCUAACUCCGUGCCAGCAGCCGCGGUAAUACGGAGGAGGCAAGCGUUAUCCGGAAUUAUUGGGCGUAAAGCGUCCGUAGAUGGUUUUGUAAGUCUGCUGUCAAAGCACAGGGCUUAACCCUGUAAAGGCAGUGG
This 275-nucleotide ribosomal RNA is filed under the name uncultured bacterium. Its description in RNAcentral is "partial 16S ribosomal RNA". It matches the Rfam family "Bacterial small subunit ribosomal RNA", at positions 338 to 629 of the family's 1533-position model. The record is from RNAcentral.